This 366-nucleotide long non-coding RNA is filed under the name Panax ginseng (ginseng). RNAcentral's name for it is "long non-coding RNA (PGIN_LNC009257)". The record is from RNAcentral. Lineage: Eukaryota; Viridiplantae; Streptophyta; Magnoliopsida; Apiales; Araliaceae.
GUUUUCUUGUUGCAGGCCAACUCCAGUGAACGUUCCACAGACCCGAAAACUACUAAGGAGGUUCCUUUCAUCAGCGACUGGGGAAAGGCUCCCUUUUAUGGGUCUUCUGACGUUUUCUGGGAGUAAGUGAAGAAUUAUGAUCGUACAACCUUUCCUCCUCCUGAGAAAGCAGGCUUAUUUCUAUAUGUUACGGCUUGCGCAAGUUUAGACAGCUUUCCCUAUUCUGCUCGCAUUCCUCGUAUGUGUAUAGAAAAACAGGAAUACCCCUACAGUCCCAUUCAUUUCAUAUCUGACUCAUCCAAUCGUCUUCAGGGGUGGCAACAUUGGACCGACGAGGUUCUCGCAAAUUCUGAUUAUGUGGAUAUA